AUGCUUAGGGCUGUUUUGAAGAAUAACAAGAAAAUGUGGGAAGAAUGCUUGCCUCAUAUUGAAUUUGCUUAUAAUCGUUCAUUGCAUUCUACUACUAAGAUGUGCCCUUUUGAAAUUGUGUAUGGUUUCCUACCUCGUGCACCUAUUGAUUUGUUGCCUCUUCCAUCUUCAGAGAAGGUUAAUUUUGAUGCUAAAGAACGUUCUGAAUUGAUUUUAAAAAUGCAUGAGUUAACUAAGGAAAACAUUGAGCGUAUGAAUGCUAAAUAUAAACUUGCUGGAGAUAAGGGUAGAAAACAUGUUGUGUUUGCUCCUGGAGAUCUUGUUUGGUUACAUUUGCGUAAAGAUAGAUUUCCUAAUCUGCGCAAAUCAAAGCUAAUGCCACGUGCUGAUGGUCCUUUUAAGGUGUUAGAGAAAAUAAAUGAUAAUGCAUAUAAACUUGAGCUACCUGUAGAUUUUGGGGUUAGUCCCACUUUUAACAUUGCAGAUUUGAAGCCUUAUUUGGGUGAGGAAGAUGUGCUUCCAUCGAGGACGACUUCAUUUCAAGAAGGGGAGGAUGAUGAGGACAUCAGUACCAUUGUUACACCCACAGCCCCUAUUGUUACAUAUACUGGACCAAUUACUAGAGCUCGCGCACGCCAGUUAAAUUACCAGAUGGAAGAGGCAACAAAUCAAUAG
Molecule: ribosomal RNA, 675 nt
Filed under: Triticum aestivum (bread wheat)
Lineage: Eukaryota; Viridiplantae; Streptophyta; Magnoliopsida; Poales; Poaceae
Description: partial small subunit ribosomal RNA
Source: RNAcentral